This 1726-nucleotide long non-coding RNA is filed under the name Capra hircus (goat). RNAcentral's name for it is "lncRNA (ENSCHIG00010014550.1)". Lineage: Eukaryota; Metazoa; Chordata; Mammalia; Artiodactyla; Bovidae. The record is from RNAcentral.
AGAAACCAGAUUACCAUGCGCUACAUAAAAUGAACUAAAGACCUCUUUUUAUACCAGAGACAGAUCACAGUAAAACUAAUUUCAUUUGGGGUCAGAUGUUGGAGUCAGAGGGGGCCGUGGCCAGAUGUAAGUAAAUCUUGGUUUCAGAUAGAAACAAAUAAACAGCGUUACAUUGAAAGAUUGUAAUCAAUGAAAGUCUUUCUUGGUCUCCCAAAUGAAUGUGACUCAGUCCUUUGAACACUAAACAGCAACAGUUUAUUUGCACCAUUCUUAUCGUUCUUAUUCUGAAUCUGUCACAGUCACUUAUUUAUUCAUUCAGUUAUUUGGUCAGACUCUCAUUGAAGAUUUAUGGAAGGCUUGUUAUGCAUCAAGUACAGUGUCAAAGACCAGGAUACCAAACAGAGCGAGACAUGGUCCCUACCUUCUAGGAACUCAGGGAAGAGGCAUAUGAAAAAAUAAUUAUAACAUGAAAGGUGCCAUAACAGAAGCAUGUACUGAGUGCUUGGAGGUGAAGUCUUUACAAAGGAGGCAACAUUUGAACUUGAAGAUAACAGGAGUUUUCUAGGCUGAAAUUGCAGAUUAUCUGGAAAAUCUGUUAAAGAAGGAGCCAGCAUGGUGUGUGAGGAAAUGGUAAAUAGUUUGAUAUGGAAAGAUCUUGAAGUAUGUAGGGAGAGUGUCAGAAGAGAUUAAAAAGGUAGGUGAAGGUAAGAGAUAAGUCACCAGGGCUUCAUACAUAGAUCUUGCUGUGGGCAUUGGACUUUAUUUUUACAGAUAAAAGGAAUUUGUUGAGGGACUUUACGUAAAAGAAGGGCAAUAUUAGGUUUGGGCUUUAAAACCUAAAACCUUCAGCAGUCUGAAGGAAGAGUUAUUGUGGGGAGGGAUUGGAUGCAAAGAAAUCAACAGGGAGGUAUUUCAACACCUAAAUCAACAGGCGGUAAAUCAAUGGGGAGGUGAGAAGUGACAAGGUCUUGAUAGCUGAAACAAAGGAAACAGAAUGGGUUCAGGGAAGAAGUGAGAGACUGAUGCACCAAUAAGACCUAAUAAUUGACUGAUGGGAGAUGAUGUGGGAAAGGAAGACGUUAAGGAUGACUUAAGAAGUUAAGAGUCAGUGGCCAGGACAGCUGAGGAAAUGAGGGUUCCUUUAAGUACAGUAGAUAAAAAAAGAACAGGUUGGGAAGAAAAAUGACAUACUGCCUUUAAGAUGCCCACAUGACUUUCAGAUGGGCAAGCCCCAUGCGCUGUUAGAAUUAUCUGUCCAGAGUUGAGCCUAGAGAUGGAUUAAGAUUUAGAUAGGUGCUGAGGCUGUGGAAUCAGAUGGCACAGAUCAGACCACUGACCAGCAAACUUUUUGACAUUAGUAGCGUGAUAGUCCCCCAAACCCCUAGCAUAGUACUUUGCAUAAAGCAAGCAGCAUCUAUGUAAAAAUCUACAGAAACAUACAAAGACAUACCUGUUUGGAAAUUGCUAGUAAUAGCUAGAUGCCCAGAGACCUCAAGUUUGAAGUCACUGCAACUUUGAAGACUUAUUUUAGGGUCAAAUGGGCAAUAAGAGUACAGCUGACAAACUGCUAUGUAUAAAAUAACUAAGCAAGAAGGAUAUAUGUACAACACAGGGAAAUAGAGCCCUUAUUUUGUAAUAACUUUAAAUGGAGUGUAAUCUAUAAAAAUGUCGAAUCACUGUUUUAUACACCUGAAACUAAUAUAAUAUUGUAAAUCACUUCAGUUCA